UACGAAGGGACCUAGCGUAGUUCGGAAUUACUGGGCUUAAAGAGCUCGUAGGUGGUUAAAAUAGUUGAUGGUGAAAUCCCAAGGCUCAACCUUGGAACUGCCAUCAAAACUUUUUAGCUAGAGUGUGAUAGAGGAAAGUGGAAUUUCUAGUGUAGAGGUGAAAUUCGUAGAUAUUAGAAAGAACACCAAAUGCGAAGGCAACUUUCUGGGUCACUACUGACACUGAGGAGCGAAAGCAUGGGUAGCGAAGAGG
RNAcentral lists this ribosomal RNA (253 nucleotides) under uncultured Pelagibacterales bacterium. Its description in RNAcentral is "partial 16S ribosomal RNA". It matches the Rfam family "Bacterial small subunit ribosomal RNA", at positions 524 to 776 of the family's 1533-position model. The record is from RNAcentral. Lineage: Bacteria; Pseudomonadati; Pseudomonadota; Alphaproteobacteria; Candidatus Pelagibacterales.